This 411-nucleotide ribosomal RNA is filed under the name uncultured bacterium. RNAcentral describes it as "bacterial SSU rRNA". It matches the Rfam family "Bacterial small subunit ribosomal RNA", at positions 29 to 428 of the family's 1533-position model. The record is from RNAcentral.
AACGAACGCUGGCGGCGUGGAUUAGGCAUGCAAGUCGAACGGAAUUUCUAGCUUUUUCGGAAAUUUAGUGGCGAAAGGGUGAGUAACAUGUGGGUAAUCUACCCAGAGGAUUGGGAUAACCUGUCGAAAGACGGGCUAAUACCGAAUGAGACCACGACUUCUUCGGAAGUUGAGGUCAAAGAUAGGGACCGCAAGGCCUGUCACCUUUGGAGGAGCCCGCAUCCUAUCAGCUUGUUGGUGAGGAAUGGCUCACCAAGGCUAUGACGGGUAGCUGGCCUGAGAGGGUGGUCAGCCACAUCGGGACUGAGACACUGCCCGGACUUCUACGGGAGGCAGCAGUGGGGAAUCUUGCGCAAUGGGCGAAAGCCUGACGCAGCGACGCCGCGUGAAGGAUGACGGCCUCGGUUGUAA